CAGUCUUUGAUCACUCAUCAGGACACUCGAAGUCGGAUGGCACUUCCUUGCCGCAGUCCGCAAGAACCUCGAGUGCAGGGGAAAGAAGGAUCUGUAUGUUCAAGGCCUGGGCCUUGAUGGUGGCGCACAGACACAGGGCGGCGUCGAGGUCGGAGAGCCCCUCCAGCACCGGGCAGCACUGGUAACUCACGCCCUCGCCGAUGAUGAUGUGCACCAGCCCCCCGAGUAGGUCCACGCACGAGUCGAGCUUAGCGGUGUCGAUGGGGCAUGUCGGAGUCGUCGGUGAUGGAGGGUAUGGAGUCCGGGUUGGUGGCGACGGCGUUACGUAUGCUGGUGGUGGAGGGCUUGGAGCUGUGUACGUUGGUGGUGGUGGUGGUGAAGGGCUUGGAGUAGUAUACGUUGGUGGCGGCGGAGGUGAAGGCUUCGGUAGUGGUGGUGGAGGGCUAGGAGUGGUGUACGUUGGUGGUGGCGGAGGGGAAGGCUUUUGGUAGCGGUGGCAGGAUUGGCGGUGGAGGGCUAGGAGUGGUGUACGUUGGCGGUGGUGGAGGGGAAGGCUUUUGGUAGCGGGUGGCNNNNNNNNNNNNNNNNNNNNNNNNNNNNNNNNNNNNNNNNNNNNNNNNNNNNNNNNNNNNNNNNNNNNNNNNNNNNNNNNNNNNNNNNNNNNNNNNNNNNNNNNNNNNNNNNNNNNNNNNNNNNGUACGUUGGCGGUGGCGGAGGGGAAGGCUUUGGUAGCGGUGGCAGGAUUGGUGGCGGAGGGCUAGGAGUGGUGUACGUUGGUGGUGGUGGAGGGGAAGGCUUUGGUAGCGGUGGCAGGAUAGGUGGUGGAGGGCUAGGAGUGGUGUACGUUGGUGGUGGUGGUGCCGGUGUUGGAGGAGGGGGGCUCGGGGUGGUGUACGUAGGCGGCGGAGGGCUAGGCUUCAACCGGCUUGGAGGUGGUGGUGACGGGGUUGGAGUGUAAGCCGGUGGCGGUGGUGGUGGGGAUGUGCAGUAGGAGCAGCCAGCGGCAAGUGAAGGAAGGACCAGUGUGGCGAGGUCUACGAACAGUAGCAAGGUAGCCACAGCACACUUCCCCAUGGUCUCAGGGAAGAAGAAGAAGAAGAAGAUGAGAGGCCUGUGAUGCAGUGAGUUGAGGAGCAUUGCAUUCUGCAGGGUAAUAUAUAUUGAAAGAAGCAUGCGACUUGCUCAUGGAUUUCCGUAGCUUAUCGAUGAGUUGGCAAAUGCCCCACUUUGAUCGAUCAAUCUUCACUGUUUCCAAUUCACAAACUGAUUAAGCACAUAAUCUUAGUCAUCCAACUCCAGUUUUCAUCAUCUUUCUAGGCAAAUUAACUGCAACAGGUUGCAUUCAUUGACCUCUUCAGGAAUUAACCUUGCCUCCUUGCUAGAUUAUGUCUAUAUCAUCGUUUUUGGUGGAAUGUUUGACGGUUUCAUGGAAUAGAUAUGACACCUACUGCUGCCUGGCAGAGCUUGGAGCUCAGCUUGCCAUGGAGGGCCAGUCUUUUGCAGUGCCUCAUUUGGCUUAUACAGAAACUGAGGCCGGUGGGAGCUCACUCCGUCCUUGAGUAGUAGAGAAAGUAAAUCUCAAUGACACCAAACCUUCAGUAAUUGAUACUUUCCUCUCUCUGUCUCUCUCUCUCUCUGAGCUUAUCCUCAUCAGUGCAAUAGUUCAGCAGUCUCAAAUGUUGGAAGUAUUAGACCUAAAAGAUAGGACAUACAUGAAGCUUAGUUCAUUAAAUCUUGUCAUAAUCUUCCAUUGACAUGGGUCAAAGAGAGAGAAAGAGAGAGAGUCAAAAUUGGCCAUUCGAGGUGUCUCUUUCAUGGAAACUUCGGUGCAUAAUCUCUAGGCUAAAGCCAUGCAAUGAUAGACCUACAUGUUUGUUGUUCUUUUAGUUCAAGUUGAAUGAAGGAUCACAAGGAGUUAAAGAGUGAUGAAAGGUUCACAUCAUUUCAGCCAUUGGAAUGUAGUGAGUGAGAGGGCUUUCACCUAACAAGUCUGUAGGUUUACUGGCAGCUGAUCCGAAAGGAAUUCAAGGGUGGUAGGCCAUUAAUUGGUACCAAGUUCCUCAGAUACUUCGAAAAGAUUGGUUCUCAUCGUGAGACAUGGAGUCUGUCCUCAAGGAAACCAACAAGAAGAAGAGAAAUCAAUGUGAUUCAUGACUCGAUUGCAAGCUGUAAUCAAAGAAAAAGAAAUCUGCAACGGAGCCAUCGUAGAACAAUAAUGAACAUCAACAGAAGCUCCGUCAAAGCUCAUCUGCAUCUCCUUGUUGACUAUGGAGUCGGCCGACUGUAGCAGAGAGCCAAAUCCAUCCAUUCCAUUGCAGAAAAUGAGUAGAUCAUCUGCAGAAUUUUGGUUGCAUGAUAUCCAGUCUUUGCAAGUCUCAUGAAACACCAAAGCCUCGAGAGUCUUUACAGUUUUGAUAUUUGGAGCAGUAAUCAAUGCUCCUUUAACCUUCUAUAAGUAAAAUUAAAACUGAGAAAACUUCACCAUCAGAACUGAAAUCAAAAUAUCACUGAUCAAAUAUAAAUUAUAUGUUUUUGAUGGUAUAAUAGAAUAUCUCGAACGAACGAACGAACGUCCGAAGUAAAAUAUAAAUUAAUUGAGCCACAUAAUCUCACUGCAUCUCUAUCUCUAGUGCAAGUAAUAUGAACAUAAAAGCAUAACCCUCAGAACUUUGCCUACAAAGACUUGAAUUCUAGUGUGGGCACCAUAUAAUGUAGUGAUCUGAUCCAAUAAAAAUAGAUUCUGCAAUGAAUACUUUGUUUGAGAAUUAGAGGAGUUAUCAUCCUGACGAGGGUAAUAAUUGUGAUAAAACUCGCGUGACAUCAGUUGCCCCGGAUGACGCAUCACGCCUCUAUUGACCUGAUGAGGCACCUGAUCAACGUGGACCGGAACGCCUACCAAGACGCAUUAACGUCAUGUUCAGGUUCGAUCCCUCAUACCACGCCAACGUCAGACGCUACCAGAAGUACGGUCCUGCUCCCUACGGGCCAGCACAUCAGGCAACGGUCAUUCUCACUAACAAAACCCUCGCGCUCAGAGGAGGAGGAGGAGGAGACGGAGAAGAAGACACAACUUAGCUAAAUAAACCCUCCGCGACUACCCACUAACUUGAUCGUCGGAGGGGUUGGGUCGAGCUCCCCGACCCGACCUUUGUGCAAGUGCGAAGUCGGAGGUUGUCCACUAAAUGCGCAGGCGAGGAGUUCUCCCCCAAUGGAAAUGACAAUCCCGUCCCGAUCGGACCAACGCAAUCGACCGCUUCAAUAGUCUCAGGAAACGUCCCAGGAAGAUCCCCUAUCAUCUGGAUCCGAACCAAGCCGCGACGGUCCCGAGACCACGGCUUGAAAUUGGUUACACCAACACAUCCCAAGGAAUCCAGAUUCUGCUCCAUUCAGAACUGUCAGAACUCUGCAACAAUUUUGUGCAGGCUUUCUACUUUCGUUUCUCCUUCCCACUUCGUACUCUAAUCUGCUUCAGAGCCUCGUUUAAGCUUCAUCUCAUAUGCCACCACAAACUCAACUCCUCUGGCGACACAGAAUUCUCUCUGUGGUUAGCUCAAAGAUCCCUCACCAUUAACUUCUUGAUUGGUAUCUUAUGAUACGAUUACAAGAUUCGAAACUUUGAUUCUGUUCUUUCACUGAUUUCAUAGAUAUUUUAUUCAAGUCCUGCGUAGGAGAAUCACUUGAGAGUGCGGUAGAGAGUCUGACAGAUAUGUCGACUACGUUAUGCUCACCAAAGAAAGGCAACGAAUACAACAUGGCGAAGACUGGUUUUGAUGCAGAAAGCAUCAUCACAGGACACGACGAUGAAAAGCUUUGAUCAAGGAUCAGGGCAUUGGUAGUCCGACGGCACGUGCUUGCCGCAGUCCACCAGCACCUCAAGCGCGAUGGGAAGAAGGAUGCUUAUGCCCAAGGCCUUGGCCUUGAUGGUGGUGCAGAGACACAGCGCGGCGUCGAGGUCGGCGAGGCCUUCGAGCACCGGGCAGCACUGGUACGUCACGUCCCCGCCGAUGAUGACGUGCACGAGCCCGCCGAGCAGGUCCACGCACGCGUCGAGCUUCAGGGUGUCGAUGGGGCACGUCGGCGCCUUGGGCGGAGGGGGGCAUGGCACCGAGGUCGGCGGCGGAAUGCUCGGAGUCGGGUACGUUGGCGGCGGCGGCGGAGAGCUCGGAGUCGGGUACGUUGGCGGCGGCGGAGAGCUUGGAGUCGGGUACGUUGGCGGUGGUGGCGGAGGGCUCGGUGAUUUCUUAGGUGGCGGUGGCGGGGUCGGGGUUUUCUUUGGAGGCGGCGGCGGGCAUGGUGUUGUGGCUGGUGGAGGUGGUGGUGGGGUUUUCUUAGGGGGAGGAGGAGGAGGAGGGGUUGGAGUUGGACAGUAGGGACAGGCAAGAGAUGGAAGGAUCGACGAAGCCAAGUAAACACACAGCACGAAGACAGCCACCGUCUCCUUCGCCAUGGUUCGGAGGAAGCCGAGAGUCUGUCUA
This 4475-nucleotide long non-coding RNA is filed under the name Musa acuminata (dwarf banana). Its description in RNAcentral is "long non-coding RNA (MACU_LNC004913)". Lineage: Eukaryota; Viridiplantae; Streptophyta; Magnoliopsida; Zingiberales; Musaceae. The record is from RNAcentral.